This 30-nucleotide small RNA is filed under the name Bombyx mori (domestic silkworm). RNAcentral describes it as "ovarian small RNA-17441". Lineage: Eukaryota; Metazoa; Arthropoda; Insecta; Lepidoptera; Bombycidae. The record is from RNAcentral.
GGCGAUGUGAUCUCCCCUCCAGGGGAGAGC